RNAcentral lists this ribosomal RNA (119 nucleotides) under Pteropus alecto (black flying fox). Lineage: Eukaryota; Metazoa; Chordata; Mammalia; Chiroptera; Pteropodidae. The record is from RNAcentral.
GUCUACGACCAUGCCACCCUGAACAAGCCCGACCCCGUCUGAUCUCUGAAGCUACGCAGGGUCAGGCCUGGUUAGUACUUGGAUGGGAGACCACAUAGGAAGGCCAGGUGCUAUAGGCA